GUGGCAAUAGUUCAAUGGCAGAGCGCCAGCCUUCCAAGCUGGAUGUUGCGGGUUCAAGUCCCGUUUGCCACUCCA
Molecule: transfer RNA, 75 nt
Filed under: Caudoviricetes sp.
Lineage: Duplodnaviria; Heunggongvirae; Uroviricota; Caudoviricetes
Description: tRNA-Gly
Rfam family: tRNA
About the family: Transfer RNA (tRNA) molecules are approximately 80 nucleotides in length. Their secondary structure includes four short double-helical elements and three loops (D, anti-codon, and T loops). Further hydrogen bonds mediate the characteristic L-shaped molecular structure. tRNAs have two regions of fundamental functional importance: the anti-codon, which is responsible for specific mRNA codon recognition, and the 3' end, to which the tRNAs corresponding amino acid is attached (by aminoacyl-tRNA synthetases). tRNAs cope with the degeneracy of the genetic code in two manners: having more than one tRNA (with a specific anti-codon) for a particular amino acid; and 'wobble' base-pairing, i.e. permitting non-standard base-pairing at the 3rd anti-codon position.
Source: RNAcentral